AGGCCGUGAUGGGGACAUUUGCGUAAUAGCUCCUUGAACCUUUCCCAGGUUUCAUAUAAGGAUUCCCCGUCCUCUUGUGAGUAUGUAUUAAUUUCAGCCAUUAAUUU
Molecule: small nucleolar RNA, 107 nt
Filed under: Helianthus annuus (common sunflower)
Lineage: Eukaryota; Viridiplantae; Streptophyta; Magnoliopsida; Asterales; Asteraceae
Description: sRNA HanXRQr2_Chr17g0824271
Rfam family: Plant small nucleolar RNA R71
About the family: R71 is a member of the C/D box family of snoRNAs containing the C (UGAUGA) and D (CUGA) box motifs.
Source: Rfam by way of RNAcentral